Anser cygnoides (Swan goose) is the source of this 1739-nucleotide long non-coding RNA. The record is from Ensembl. NCBI's taxonomy places the organism in Eukaryota, Metazoa, Chordata, Aves, Anseriformes, Anatidae.
CUCUUAUAUUUCCUACAUAUUCAUUUAACUUGUUUCAUUUCUAAGUCUUGAUAGGCUGCCUGGCUUUCUACUUAUUUCUGCUGAAAAGCCUGCCUUAAAAGACCAUCUUCCUUUCUGUGUUUUCAUAUCACUCUCCUUCCUUUCAUCUUCAAGAUCCCAACCAUGACCCUAGUCCUACAACCUGAACUCUGCCUUAUCAUAAAGCCCAUCCAAUUCAGUUUUCUUUUGUAGUCCCUGGAAUUAACCCUUGCAAGUCUUAUUACUGGUAUCCUCCUGGUAAACCCUGGCACCUGAGGUUACAGCUGAAAAAUAUUGCCUAGGGGAAAAAAGUCAUUCCUGAAAUUGUCAUAUAGCCAGAAGCUUUUGGUUUAGGGCAACACGGACAGACAGAAGAACUAUUUUCACCUUGGGCCAGCUAAUUCUAAUUCAAUUACCUCCCACUAGAUGUACAGGAAUAUUUGGUGUAACACCUGCCUUUGUUUUAUUUUUCAUGGAAAGCAGGCUGAUAUCUCCUCUUUCAGAGAGGGUUUUUUUUUUUUUUUUUUUUUUCCCUCUGCCUUUAUCAUCAUCUCUUUCACUCUUUUGUAGGAAGAAGAUGCCCUCCCACCACAGAACAGCAGUCUGGAGACAGGAGAAGAGGCUCUGCUGCAGGCCAACUUGUUCCAUUUCCUUUAUGUCUUUAUGUUGCACUCAAGAGAUGAACCGUCAUGAAGAUUUUGGGUCCAAAGAACGAAAAUGAAGCUGGUGAACAGUCUAGAGAAUAAGCCUUAUGAAGAGCUGCUGAGGGAGCUGUGAGGGAGCCCCUGAUUACCAAUGACCUAUGUAUUCCUGUCAGUGUGAUCAACAGUCACCUGAAAUCAACAACUCACGACUUAAUUAAACAGACUUUAGAUAUAACACUGGAAGAUUCUAGGCUACUUGAAAACAACAGAGAGUUAACAGGUGGAAAACAACCCAGUGCCCUUAGCAUUCAUUGGGGCAAGAUCAAAUUUAAUUUUGGGCUUUGCUGCCACAAAGAAGUACACAAAUAACAGAGUUCUUAUGAGAAGAGAAGAAGCUGGGAUAGUAAGGCAGGGCAGGGAAAUCUGGCCUUGCUGUUCCCACACAGAUGAAGGGAGAGCAGAGACGGAAAAUUCUACUCACUGCAUUAGUGGAAGUAGCUGUUCUGACUGCAUCAGUAGUGGUUUCUCUAGACACCUUAAUAUAUCCCUCAGCAGCAGCAGCUCUGAUUUUCCAGGGGUAAAAUACAGACAGAAUAAGGAUAAGUAACAUUAUUAUGGCCAUAUACAGAAGUCUUAUGUUCUAGGCAGCUACCAGGUUUGGUAAUACCUGAAAGGAGCCAAGACCCCGAUCAAUCUUCAACUGAAAGACCCACGGUAGCAUUCAUAUAAUUAGUUUUCCAGGAUUUGUUGUUGUUAUUGUUGUUGUUUUUAAAUCAACAAAACUUUCAUGGAACUUCCUCCUGGAACCCUUUCUGGCCAGUACUUCCAUUCCCUUUGUAAUAUAGGGUAGGGAUAAGUGGACACAAUUACCACUAGGACUUGAUAAUCCUGCCAACCCCAAAGCGGAAUUGUAAUAUACAGGAACAUUAUAUACCUGUGCCCAAGGUGUCAGAACCACAAAGGGACAUUAAGUAUCUGUAUUCAAGAAAUAAUUUGAAAACCAAUUUCUGAUAACUAGACUUCUAAAAUAGUUUAAGUUUGGCUACCUGUUUAUGCACACACACACACACACACACA